AUGGACAGCAAAGACCUGAUGUCCACCAGCAGUCAUGUGAUUGACUUUGCAAAUGUAUCUCCUGAGGCCCAUCAAGAACCAGGCACUGAACCUGCACGUUUUCCAAAAAUUAUCUUGCACAAGAGUGUGUGCCUCCUCUCACUCAUUCUGAGUUAUCUUCCAGAACAACAAUAUGUUCUUUGCAAAGGAAGGGUUAAGUACUGCUUAAAAAUAUAA
Molecule: long non-coding RNA, 216 nt
Filed under: Canis lupus familiaris (dog)
Lineage: Eukaryota; Metazoa; Chordata; Mammalia; Carnivora; Canidae
Description: lncRNA (ENSCAFG00040006308.1)
Source: RNAcentral